CACGUAGGGCGCGAGCGUUGUCCGGAAUUAUUGGGCGUAAAGAGCUCGUAGGCGGCCUGUUGCGUCCGCUGUGAAAGCCCGGGGCUUAACCCCGGGUCGGCAGUGGAUACGGGCAGGCUAGAGGUAGGUAGGGGAGAAUGGAAUUCCUGGUGUAGCGGUGAAAUGCGCAGAUAUCAGGAGGAACACCGAUGGCGAAGGCAGGUCUCUGGGCAUUAACUGACGCUGAGGAGCGAAAGCAUGGGGAGCGAACAGG
RNAcentral lists this ribosomal RNA (253 nucleotides) under uncultured bacterium. RNAcentral's name for it is "partial 16S ribosomal RNA". It matches the Rfam family "Bacterial small subunit ribosomal RNA", at positions 524 to 776 of the family's 1533-position model. The record is from RNAcentral.